Molecule: ribosomal RNA, 496 nt
Filed under: uncultured bacterium
Lineage: Bacteria
Description: partial 16S ribosomal RNA
Rfam family: Bacterial small subunit ribosomal RNA
Source: RNAcentral
GACGAACGCUGGCGGCGUGCCUAAUACAUGCAAGUCGAGCGGACGGAUGGGAGCUUGCUCCCAGACCGUCAGCGGCGGACGGGUGAGUAACACGUGGGCAACCUGCCUGUAAGACUGGGAUAACUCCGGGAAACCGGGGCUAAUACCGGAUAACUCUUUCCCUCACAUGAGGGAAAGCUGAAAGAUGGCAUCUCGCUAUCACUUACAGAUGGGCCCGCGGCGCAUUAGCUAGUUGGUGAGGUAACGGCUCACCAAGGCGACGAUGCGUAGCCGACCUGAGAGGGUGAUCGGCCACACUGGGACUGAGACACGGCCCAGACUCCUACGGGAGGCAGCAGUAGGGAAUCUUCCGCAAUGGACGAAAGUCUGACGGAGCAACGCCGCGUGAGUGAUGAAGGUUUUCGGAGCGUAAAACUCUGUUGUCAGGGAAGAACAAGUACCGGAGUAACUGCCGGUACCUGGACGGUACCUGACCAGAAAGCCACGGCUAACUACG